Long non-coding RNA from Lytechinus pictus (painted urchin), 777 nucleotides. RefSeq lists it as uncharacterized. The record is from RefSeq and is a predicted model, not a curated record. Lineage: Eukaryota; Metazoa; Echinodermata; Echinoidea; Temnopleuroida; Toxopneustidae. The transcript has 3 exons.
CAUAAUAACACUGCUUUUUAGCCAAUGAACAUCAAGGAAAGUUGUCAGAUCUGACAACUUGUCGAACGAAAAUGAUGAAACCCUCACUUGUUUGUGAUUGGCCGCCAGCCCUCACUUUCAAAACCGUUCCGCGGCCUGUAUGUCAUGUACGAGCAUGACGAGUAGGCCUAUUACAGUAACUGUUGGUGUGAUGCCCUGAUGGGGAGGACAGUUUUUGUUUUGCCGUUGUUUUAAUUGCUUCAUAUUGGGUGCAGAUUUGAGAACCAAUUGCUCCAGUUUGCUGAAUAAAAGCUCAAGACCACGACUAGAAGACAAUAUGAUGAUGAAGCUACAGAAACACGAACAAUAAUUUGAGGAGAAAGUGGCUGAGGAGGAGGUGGAGGCAGAGGAGGAUUUGACAGAGGAGGAAGAGAAGACGGCAUAGGAGGAGGUGGUGGAUGGCUGAGGAGGUGGAAGAGACAUAAUGAUGAUGAAGCUAUGGAAACACGAACAAUAAUUUGAAAGGAUGGAAGAGAAGGAGGAGGAGGAAGUGGCUGAGGAGGAGACGGCAGAGGAGAAGACGGCAGAGGAGGAUGUGAUGGAUGGCUGAGGAGGUGGAAAGUGAUAAGUCUGCAGAAGAGCAGACGGCAGAGGAGAAGAAGGCAGAGGAGGAGGUGGCGGAUGGCUGAGGAGGUAGAAAAGGAGGAGUUGGCAGAAGAGGAGACGGCAGAGGAGGAUGUGAUGGAUGGCUGAGGAGGUGGAAAUUGAUAAGUCGGCAGAAGAGGAGACGGCAGAGGA